RNAcentral lists this ribosomal RNA (117 nucleotides) under Periophthalmus magnuspinnatus. The record is from RNAcentral. Lineage: Eukaryota; Metazoa; Chordata; Actinopteri; Gobiiformes; Gobiidae.
AUAUGUGGCCAAACCUCCUUGUCAAGGCCUGAUCUCAUUUGCUCUCAAAAACUAAGCAGGACUAGGCCUGGUUAGUACUUGGAUGGGAGACCGCUGGAAAUUCCAGGUGCCACGGUG